GACGUAGGGCGCGAGCGUUGUCCGGAUUUAUUGGGCGUAAAGAGCUCGUAGGCGGCUUGUUGCGUCGACUGUGAAAACCCGCAGCUUAACUGCGGGCCUGCAGUUGAUACGGGCAGGCUAGAGUUCGGUAGGGGAGACUGGAAUUCCUGGUGUAGCGGUGAAAUGCGCAGAUAUCUGGAGGAACACCGGUGGCGAAGGCGGCAUCCUGGACCAAUUCUGACGCUGAGGAGCGAAAGCCAGGGGAGCAAACGGG
Molecule: ribosomal RNA, 253 nt
Filed under: uncultured bacterium
Lineage: Bacteria
Description: partial 16S ribosomal RNA
Rfam family: Bacterial small subunit ribosomal RNA
Source: RNAcentral